Molecule: transfer-messenger RNA, 54 nt
Filed under: Gammaproteobacteria bacterium
Lineage: Bacteria; Pseudomonadati; Pseudomonadota; Gammaproteobacteria
Description: partial transfer-messenger RNA
Rfam family: transfer-messenger RNA
About the family: Bacterial tmRNA, also known as 10Sa RNA or SsrA, is named for its dual tRNA and mRNA-like properties. Its role is to liberate the mRNA from a stalled ribosome.
Source: RNAcentral
GAAGUCAGGUUGAAGAACUAACGGACGCGGGUUCAAUUCCCGCCGCCUCCACCA